This 373-nucleotide ribosomal RNA is filed under the name uncultured bacterium. RNAcentral's name for it is "bacterial SSU rRNA". It matches the Rfam family "Bacterial small subunit ribosomal RNA", at positions 521 to 896 of the family's 1533-position model. The record is from RNAcentral.
UAAUACGGAGGUGGCAAGCGUUACUCGGAAUCACUGGGUGUAAAGGGCAAGUAGGCGGUUUAUUAAGUGAGGGGUGAAAUCUCCCGACUCAAUCGGGAAACUGCCUUUCAAACUGAUAGACUUGAGGACGGAAGAGGAAAAUGGAAUUCCCGGUGUAAGGGUGAAAUCUGUAGAUAUCGGGAAGAACACCAGCAGCGAAGGCGAUUUUCUGGUCCGUCCCUGACGCUAAAUUGCGAAAGCUAGGGGAGCAAACAGAAUUAGAUACUCUGGUAGUCCUAGCCGUAAACGAUGAGCACUAGGUGUUGGCCUUUCGGGGUCAGUGCCGCAGCUAACGCAUUAAGUGCUCCACCUGGGGACUACGGUCGCAAGGCUA